RNAcentral lists this ribosomal RNA (115 nucleotides) under Enterococcus mundtii. RNAcentral describes it as "partial 23S ribosomal RNA". It matches the Rfam family "Bacterial large subunit ribosomal RNA", at positions 2812 to 2925 of the family's 2925-position model. Lineage: Bacteria; Bacillati; Bacillota; Bacilli; Lactobacillales; Enterococcaceae. The record is from RNAcentral.
UCCCAUUUCUUUAAGAAAGUAAGAUCCCUGAGAGAUGAUCAGGUAGAUAGGUCAGGAGUGGAAGUACAGUGAUGUAUGGAGCGGACUGAUACUAAUCGAUCGAGGACUUAACCAA